This 406-nucleotide ribosomal RNA is filed under the name uncultured bacterium. Its description in RNAcentral is "partial 16S ribosomal RNA". It matches the Rfam family "Bacterial small subunit ribosomal RNA", at positions 30 to 526 of the family's 1533-position model. The record is from RNAcentral.
AUUGAACGCUGGCGGCAGGCCUAACACAUGCAAGUCGAGCGAGCGGCGGACGGGUGAGUAAUGUCUGGGAAACUGCCUGAUGGAGGGGGAUAACUACUGGAAACGGUAGCUAAUACCGCAUACCAUCAGAUGUGCCCAGAUGGGAUUAGCUAGUAGGUGGGGUAACGGCUCACCUAGGCGACGAUCCCUAGCUGGUCUGAGAGGAUGACCAGCAACACUGGAACUGAGACACGGUCAAGACUCCUCCGGGGGGCAGAGGUGGGUAAUAUGGCACAUUGGGCGCGAGCCUGAUGCAGCGAUGCCGGGUGUGGGAAGUAGUCCUACGGGUAGUAAAGCACUUUCAGCGGGGAGGCGUUACCCUCAGAAGAAGCACCGGCUAACUCCGCGCCAGCAGCCGCGGUAAUUC